RNAcentral lists this unclassified non-coding RNA (1679 nucleotides) under uncultured fungus. RNAcentral's name for it is "sequence contains 18S rRNA gene, ITS1, 5.8S rRNA gene, ITS2, 28S rRNA gene". The stretch from base 697 to 1679 matches the Rfam family "Eukaryotic large subunit ribosomal RNA", at positions 1 to 961 of the family's 3401-position model. The record is from RNAcentral. Lineage: Eukaryota; Fungi.
AGCUGGAUCAUUUUUCCGAUCAAAACGAAAAUAUCCAAAACACAUCUGCUUCUUUUCUCGUGUUGUUUGGGUUGUUUCUUUCGAGAGCGCCAACACACAACACACACCAAGAGGAGAGAGGCAACACACAAACAAAACAAACAACGCAGCAAAGACUUUUUCCGUUUCUCUUCCGAGAGGGGCGAAAAAACAAUCUUCCCUGCUCUACCUUAGCCAAAAAAAAAGAUGGAAACGCUCCUUCUUUUUUGGGUAGAACCUAAAACGUGUCGCGAUGGAUGACUUGGCUUCCCAUAUCUGUGAAGAACGCAGCAAAGUGCGAUAAGUGGUAUGAAUUGCAGAAUCUCUCCAUUACUUAAUCUUUGAACGCAAAAGGCGCUCGGGAGAAGCCCCUCGUGGGUCAUCCCCGUGCAUGCCGUAUUGCUCAGUGUCGAAAAACAACAAACACAAAAAGAUCGCGCUCUCUUCCGAGAGUUGUUUCGGUCUUUCCUCGUGUGUGUGUGCGUUCAACCGCGCGCGCAGGCCGAGGUGGUUUCUCGAAGUUGUGCGCGAAGGGAUACUACCAUUUCCCUCUCGCCGUGCAAUUCGGGGAUUGGGUGUUCCUUUUGUUGGAAACGACAAAAAUAAAGCAAACCAAUCAGCCAAAAAAGAUACCAACCAAUGUGUGUUGUUCCAAAAAACAAAACCAAAAAAUUUUACUGACCUGAGUGCGGCAGGACGACCCGCUAAACUUAAGCAUAUUGCUCAGCGGAGGAAAAGAAAACAACCGUGAUUCCCUUAGUGAGCGGCGGAGCGAACAGGGAUCCAACUCGAUGCCGAAUCGGGCUUUACAGAGCCUUGAGUUGUGGCACGACUGCCCCGUGACUGGUCAAGGGAGUGGCAAAAUUCAAUGUGCAAAGCAAACCCAUUGUUGAAUGCAACCCUUCAUGUGAGUAUUGAGCCAUAGGAGGUGAAAGCCCAUUCCAGCCACUACUACCCUAAGCCUCAUUGGGCGGUUUCAAGCGAGUAGCACUGCUUGGGAAUGCAGUGUCAAGCGGCAGGUAUGUGUCUGCCAAAGUUAAAUACAAAAUGGGAAGACCGAUAGCAAACAAGUAGCGUGAGCGAAAGUUUGAAAAGCACUUUGGAAAGAGAGUGACAUAGAACCUGAAGUCGUGACAAUGACAAUGAAAGUGCCUCCAUUUUUGUCAAGGCCGGCCCUGCAGCAUUAUCUGGUGUUCCGCCUUCGGGUGCCAACGCCAGGCAAACAAAUGUUGGAAGGGGACCGGAGCAAAGAGCCGAGGUAAAGGUAGGAGUUUUGGCUUGCCAAUGAACCCGUCCUUCUCGGUAGACUCAGCGACUUGACGCUCUGGAAAUGGGGUACCUUCACCCGUCUUGAAACACGGACCAAGGAGUCAAACAGACACGCAAGAGGGAAGAUAUUGUUGCCAGUACUUCUCUCGAACUGAAAGGGAUGCUUUUUGCAUUGGUGUGCACACAAGAACUGCCCAACACCGACCGCCCUUCUUUUAGGGUGAGUCUGAGUGUGCCUGUUUGGACCCGAAAGGUGGUGAACUAUGCCUGAACAAGGUGAAGUCCGGGGAAACUCGGAUGGAGGCCUGUAGCGGUGCUGACGUGCAAAUCGCUCGCAUGAUUUGGGUAUCGGAGCGAAAGACUCAUCGAACCACCUAGUAGCUGGUUCACAU